This 658-nucleotide long non-coding RNA is filed under the name Citrus x clementina. RNAcentral's name for it is "Citrus clementina (C. clementina) long non-coding RNA (CCLE_LNC006774)". Lineage: Eukaryota; Viridiplantae; Streptophyta; Magnoliopsida; Sapindales; Rutaceae. The record is from RNAcentral.
AUUUAUAUUCUUACAACAGUAAAAUAAUAAGAUUUACUGAAUAUAUAUGACUGUUUUUAAAAUUUAUAACAUUUUUAAAACUAAAUUUUACCAAAUUUUUAUUUGAUUUUCUUCAGAAUUGAUUAUUUUUACGACAUAACUAACAAUAAUUAUUUAAAAAACUAUAACAUUACUAAACUGAUCCUUAAUAUUUUCAAGUUGGGUUGACAGAGAAAAUAAUAGAUGAAAAUAAGAAAUAUUGGCAAUAACGUGAUCCCCGUUUCGUAAAAAUAGUUUUACAAUUAUUGUCGGUGCACAUAAUGAAGACUUUUUGUGGCAGAACAUCUACGUGCUAAAAAGUGUGAUUCGAAAUUUAUUCAAAUUAUAAGUACUGAUAAGUCUUGGCUUCUCAACGCAUGGACUAAACUUACGUUAUUUGACUAGCUAAUUUGCUUAGGGUCAGUUUAGUAAAAUUAUAGUUUUUAAAAUAAUUAUUGUCAAUUUUAUUAUCAAAAUAAUCAGUUGUAAAGAAAAUUAGUUAAACAUUUGAUAAAAUUUAUUUUAAAAGUGAUAUAAAUUUUAAAAACAGUCAAACGUAUUGUGUAAAUCUUACUAUUAAAACUAAUGUAAGAAUAUAAAUGACUAAAUUAGACAUGAUGUUGAAUAAAAUUUAUUUACA